Molecule: ribosomal RNA, 274 nt
Filed under: uncultured bacterium
Lineage: Bacteria
Description: partial 16S ribosomal RNA
Rfam family: Bacterial small subunit ribosomal RNA
Source: RNAcentral
GUUGUGAGAUGUUGGGUUAAGUCCCGCAACGAGCGCAACCCCUACUGUUAGUUGCCAUCAGGUGAAGCUGGGCACUCUAACGGAACCGCCGGUGACAAAUCGGAGGAAGGUGGGGAUGACGUCAAGUCCUCAUGGCCCUUAUGUCUUGGGCUACACACGUGCUACAAUGGGCUGUACAGAGGGUAGCAAUCCCGCGAGGGGGAGCCAAUCCCAAAAAGCAGUCCGUAGUUCAGAUUGGAGUCUGCAACUCGACUCCAUGAAGUCGGAAUCGCUA